Molecule: ribosomal RNA, 505 nt
Filed under: uncultured bacterium
Lineage: Bacteria
Description: partial 16S ribosomal RNA
Rfam family: Bacterial small subunit ribosomal RNA
Source: RNAcentral
GACGAACGCUGGCGGCGUGCCUAAUACAUGCAAGUAGAAUGCACAGUUUAUACCGUAGCUUGCUACACCAUAAACUGUGAGUUGCGAACGGGUGAGUAACGCGUAGGUAACCUGCCUGGUAGCGGGGGAUAACUAUUGGAAACGAUAGCUAAUACCGCAUAAUAUUGAUUAUUGCAUGAUAAUUGAUUGAAAGAUGCUAUUGCAUCACUACCAGAUGGACCUGCGUUGUAUUGGCUAGUAGGUGAGGUAACGGCUCACCUAGGCGACGAUACAUAGCCGACCUGAGAGGGUGAUCGGCCACACUGGGACUGAGACACGGCCCAGACUCCUACGGGAGGCAGCAGUAGGGAAUCUUCGGCAAUGGACGAAAGUCUGACCGAGCAACGCCGCGUGAGUGAAGAAGGUUUUCGGAUCGUAAAGCUCUGUUGUAAGAGAAGAACGGGUGUGAGAGUGGAAAGUUCACACUGUGACGGUAUCUGACCAGAAAGGGACGGCUAACUACGUG